UUGACCUCGGAUCAGGUAGGAAUACCCGCUGAAC
Molecule: ribosomal RNA, 34 nt
Filed under: Fusarium oxysporum
Lineage: Eukaryota; Fungi; Ascomycota; Sordariomycetes; Hypocreales; Nectriaceae
Also listed under: 19 other names
Description: partial 28S ribosomal RNA
Source: RNAcentral